Molecule: non-coding RNA, 94 nt
Organism: Paxillus ammoniavirescens
Lineage: Eukaryota; Fungi; Basidiomycota; Agaricomycetes; Boletales; Paxillaceae
Source: the annotation of a GenBank genome assembly
GGCUUUGUAGUGUAGCGGUUAUCACUUGAGAUUCUGAUGUGGCAUGUAGACUGCCAAUGUUCUCAAAACCCAGGUUCGAGUCCUGGCAAGGCCU